This is a long non-coding RNA of Pimephales promelas (fathead minnow), 1093 nucleotides long. RefSeq lists it as uncharacterized. NCBI's taxonomy places the organism in Eukaryota, Metazoa, Chordata, Actinopteri, Cypriniformes, Leuciscidae. The record is from RefSeq and is a predicted model, not a curated record.
CAGAAAGAGAGAGAGAGCCAGUUAGUUGUUAUGGAAAGAAAUAAAAGUUAGCAAGCAAUGGUUUAAUCCGUUCGCUUUAAGGUUGAUUCAUGGUAUUGACUAAAAGGGCCUACAGUUUUUCCAUAGUUGAUUAUUCACAGCAGUCAAGGAAUUCGGUAAAGUAUAAUCACAAAACUCCCCUUAGUCAAUCAUCUCAUUAAGCCAGAAUUAAUCAAUUCAACAAGCAAAAUCCACAUUUGAACACAAGAGUUUCUCCCUCAAUGCUCUUUUCCUCUGCUGGCAGACGAUGUGAAUUCCUGGGUGUUAUAAUCAAAAAUAUGGAGAUACACAUUCAUCUUUUGAACUGUCCCCACCCUAUAAGAAGAAUUUUCUGGAAUUCAUGCAAGAUGCAAAAAGUGCAGGUAUGCAAAACAAACACACAGACGCUCCAUCAUACUUCCAGUUAAUGGGUAACAGGUGAUGAUGGAAGCUGAUCGUGCCAUUGGAAAGUCGUUAAAAUCUCGUCUUUAUGUGGAGAAAGUGAUAGGAGGCAUUUACAUGAGGCAACCAGGCAUGUUGAACACUGCGCUUGAGUGAACUACAGUCUUAGGCACAGGUUGGCACACCCUCCUGAUCUAGUGGCGCCAAAUGCUAUAAACCACCUAAAAAUGGCAAUGGUGGAAAAUGUUCCCUAAAAAAAGGGGAAAGCUUAUAAAAGCACUGAGCGAGGGAGAGAAAGAAGAGUGAAGGAUUAUUUUCCACUGUGUCAGGGAGGUGUCUGGCUUUGGCUUUAGCCCCGUGCUCCUGUCGUGUGAGCCCCAUGCUCCUAUCCUGCCGGCUUAUCUGCCCUGAUCGGAAACGAGGGAUGGAGAGAAGAGAAGGGCGGACAGUACGGUGCAGAUGCAGCUGUCUAAGUCACAGUGAGGCUGGAAACCCGACCCUCAGGAACAUACACCACAAAUUCACAACACAUACUGGCACAGGCUCUAACGUCACUGUAAACAUUCGCUAAAACGUUACAAAAAGGUUCCUUUUGUAAACAUUGAUUAAUAAUGAAGAAUACUUCUAAAGCAUUAUUAAUAUUGGUCAAUUAAAAAUGUAGUAAUACAUUAUA